GCAGCAGGGAAUCUUGGGCAAUGGGCGAAAGCCUGACCCAGCGACGUCGCGUGGGGGACGAAGGCCUUAGGGUUGUAAACCCCUUUUCCGAGGGAAGAUACAGGACGGUACCUCGGGAAUAAGCCCCGGCUAACUACGUGCCAGCAGCCGCGGUAAUACGUAGGGGGCGAGCGUUACCCGGAAUCACUGGGCGUAAAGUGCGCGUAGGCGGUUGGAUAAGUCUCUUGUGAAAGCUCCCGGCUCAACUGGGAGAGGUCAAGGGAUACUAUUCGACUUGAGGACAACAGAGGUAAGCAGAAUUCCCGGUGUAGCGGUGGAAUGCGUAGAUAUCGGGAGGAACACCAGUGGCGAAAGCGGCUUACUGGGUUGUAACUGACGCUGAGGCGCGAGAGCGUGGGGAGCAAACUGGAUUAGAUACCCAGGUAGUCCACGCCCUAAACGAUGGAUACUAGGUAUGGGGGGUAUUGACCCCCUCCGUGCCGUAGCUAACGCGUUAAGUAUCCCGCCUG
This 509-nucleotide ribosomal RNA is filed under the name uncultured Chloroflexota bacterium. RNAcentral describes it as "bacterial SSU rRNA". It matches the Rfam family "Bacterial small subunit ribosomal RNA", at positions 351 to 875 of the family's 1533-position model. Lineage: Bacteria; Bacillati; Chloroflexota. The record is from RNAcentral.